UUCUAUCUUAAUUAGUGAAUCGGGCCCUAAGGCGCCGUCUUUCAAAAAAAAUGCCCGGCCUUUUCUACUAGUAGUGAAAAUGUUAGCUGCAACCUUCUGCAGCAAAUCUUGCACCUCUCACAUGUAGCCACUUUGAUCGGAUCUUCGAAUGGAUGGAAGUGCAUGAAGAUGGGAGGAACACAUCUCAUUUCGUUGCCAGCUACUAAAAGACCAUCGUUGGUUGUGGCAACGAGAUCAGCUUAUACUUCCAUUGAUCACCACGAAUGUACAUUGUUUCCAAAUCUUCUUGGGAGCUCGAACAUGUACACUGUUCUUGCAAUUGGAGCUUGUUUUUUGGGUUGUUUUAAUGUAGUGGCCAGCGACUUGUGCGUCAUGGUGUUCUCCUAAUGAUAUUCCAUGCCUUAUACAAACAAAUAUCAUAUAACCUAGCAGAUUUUGUAACUACUUGUUGCGACCGAUAAAGCGGCGAAGCCGAGUGGGCACAAAUUAUCCCAAUUUGCGAUCUACCAUAGGAUUUGUUAUGUAAGUAGGUAGUCCUAAAAAGCAAAUUGUAAUUGUAGAGGAUGAAGGAAAGAAAGAAUGAAGUCUGCACCUUUGACUACUGAUGAAGUUUCGUUGUUUUCUUUUUAAUUUAUUGUUAACCCUUACUGCUCACACUUGUUGUCGUCAUUUUAAUUUAUAAUAUAAUUUAUUUUUCCAUGAAUGUUCGGUGAGCCAUUCAGGAGGUGACAUCUAUGAAUGGCUUAUGUGUGCGGGUGGAAAAUAGUACUACCUCCCUUGCGGAUUAUAGGGCUUAUCUCGAUUUUUUUUCCUGUUUUGUAAGUCUCAAUUGUAUUUCUCCCCAUCAUAUGUUCAGAUUUCGAAGUCCAUUAAAUCGCUGCAUGAAAGGAUUAAAAUAAAACUCAUCAAUGCAUGUAGAAGUUUUGGUCAUUCAUUGGUCACACAUGCAUGCAUUGCAACUAAGGCAUUGUUAGUCUCAAAGUUUUUGAGGAAAACAAAUGCAUUAAUUAAGUUUUUUUGUAAACUUCAAAAUAUAAUCCACCAUUCACCAACCACCUUGGUUGGUAAAUUUUGAAUUAUUUUCUAUAGACCGGAAGAGAGGGACUAGUGGGGAUCAAUUAAUAAUG
Molecule: long non-coding RNA, 1127 nt
Filed under: Hordeum vulgare
Lineage: Eukaryota; Viridiplantae; Streptophyta; Magnoliopsida; Poales; Poaceae
Description: long non-coding RNA (HVUL_LNC013778)
Source: RNAcentral